This is a non-coding RNA of Lojkania enalia, 110 nucleotides long. The record is from the annotation of a GenBank genome assembly. NCBI's taxonomy places the organism in Eukaryota, Fungi, Ascomycota, Dothideomycetes, Pleosporales.
GACACGAUGGCCGAGUGGUCUAAGGCGGUAGAUUUAAGUUUUGCGAUGUGGUCGCUCUGGUUAAAUCUCUACUGGGGAAACCCGCGUGAGUUCGAACCUCACUCGUGUCA